Pelobates cultripes (western spadefoot toad) is the source of this 226-nucleotide non-coding RNA. Lineage: Eukaryota; Metazoa; Chordata; Amphibia; Anura; Pelobatidae. The record is from the annotation of a GenBank genome assembly.
UGGAGAUGUCAUUAGUCUAGGGGUUCACAUACUUUUUCCACCUGCACUGUGAAUGCUUACAUGGUGUGUUCAAUAAAAACAUGGCCACAUUUCAUUCUUUGUGUGUUAUUAGUUUAAGCAGACUGUGAUUGUCUAUUGUUGUGACUUAGAUGAUGAUCAGAUCACAUUUUAUGACCAAUUUGUGCAGAAAUCCAUAUCAUUCCAAAGGGUUCACAUACUUUUUCUU